Salmo salar (Atlantic salmon) is the source of this 54-nucleotide non-coding RNA. The record is from Rfam. NCBI's taxonomy places the organism in Eukaryota, Metazoa, Chordata, Actinopteri, Salmoniformes, Salmonidae.
AACAGGUCGUAUUGUAAGUCGCUUUGGAUAAGAGUGUCUGCUAAAUGACGUAAA